This is a non-coding RNA of Fopius arisanus, 74 nucleotides long. The record is from the annotation of a RefSeq genome assembly. NCBI's taxonomy places the organism in Eukaryota, Metazoa, Arthropoda, Insecta, Hymenoptera, Braconidae.
GUUUUCGUAGUGUAGUCGGGUAUCACAUCCGCCUAACACGCGGAAGGUCCCCGGUUCGAACCCGGGCGAAAACA